Molecule: ribosomal RNA, 465 nt
Filed under: uncultured bacterium
Lineage: Bacteria
Description: partial 16S ribosomal RNA
Rfam family: Bacterial small subunit ribosomal RNA
Source: RNAcentral
GACGAACGCUGGCGGCGUGCUUAACACAUGCAAGUCGAACGGAAAGGCCCUGCUUGCAGGGUACUCGAGUGGCGAACGGGUGAGUAACACGUGGGUGAUCUGCCCUGCACUUCGGGAUAAGCCUGGGAAACUGGGUCUAAUACCGGAUAUGAGCCAUUUUUAGUGUGAUGGUUGGAAAGUUUUUUCGGUGUAGGAUGAGCUCGCGGCCUAUCAGCUUGUUGGUGGGGUAAUGGCCUACCAAGGCGGCGACGGGUAGCCGGCCUGAGAGGGUGGACGGCCACAUUGGGACUGAGAUACGGCCCAGACUCCUACGGGAGGCAGCAGUGGGGAAUAUUGCACAAUGGGCGCAAGCCUGAUGCAGCGACGCCGCGUGGGGGAUGACGGCCUUCGGGUUGUAAACUCCUUUCGCUAGGGACGAAGCUUUUUGUGACGGUACCUAGAUAAGAAGCACCGGCUAACUACGUG